GAUUAGAAGCUUGCUUCUAUGACGUUAGCGGCGGACGGGUGAGUAACACGUGGGCAACCUGCCUGUAAGACUGGGAUAACUUCGGGAAACCGAAGCUAAUACCGGAUAGGAUCUUCUCCUUCAUGGGAGAUGAUUGAAAGAUGGUUUCGGCUAUCACUUACAGAUGGGCCCGCGGUGCAUUAGCUAGUUGGUGAGGUAACGGCUCACCAAGGCAACGAUGCAUAGCCGACCUGAGAGGGUGAUCGGCCACACUGGGACUGAGACACGGCCCAGACUCCUACGGGAGGCAGCAGUAGGGAAUCUUCCGCAAUGGACGAAAGUCUGACGGAGCAACGCCGCGUGAGUGAUGAAGGCUUUCGGGUCGUAAAACUCUGUUGUUAGGGAAGAACAAGUACGAGAGUAACUGCUCGUACCUUGACGGUACCUAACCAGAAAGCCACGGCUAACUACGUGCCAGCAGCCGCGGUAAUACGUAGGUGGCAAGCGUUAUCCGGAAUUAUUGGGCGUAAAGCGCGCGCAGGCGGUUUCUUAAGUCUGAUGUGAAAGCCCACGGCUCAACCGUGGAGGGUCAUUGGAAACUGGGGAACUUGAGUGCAGAAGAGAAAAGCGGAAUUCCACGUGUAGCGGUGAAAUGCGUAGAGAUGUGGAGGAACACCAGUGGCGAAGGCGGCUUUUUGGUCUGUAACUGACGCUGAG
This 696-nucleotide ribosomal RNA is filed under the name uncultured bacterium. RNAcentral's name for it is "bacterial SSU rRNA". It matches the Rfam family "Bacterial small subunit ribosomal RNA", at positions 70 to 750 of the family's 1533-position model. The record is from RNAcentral.